UACGAAGGGGGCUAGCGUUGUUCGGAAUUACUGGGCGUAAAGCGAACGUAGGCGGUGUUCCAUGUCAGAGGUGAAAGCCUGGGGCCCAACUCCAGAAUUGCCUUUGAAACGGGGACGCUUGAGUCCGAGAGAGGAUGGCGGAAUUCCUAGUGUAGAGGUGAAAUUCGUAGAUAUUAGGAAGAACACCGGUGGCGAAGGCGGCCAUCUGGCUCGGUACUGACGCUCAGGUUCGAAAGCGUGGGGAGCAAACAGG
RNAcentral lists this ribosomal RNA (253 nucleotides) under uncultured bacterium. RNAcentral's name for it is "partial 16S ribosomal RNA". It matches the Rfam family "Bacterial small subunit ribosomal RNA", at positions 524 to 776 of the family's 1533-position model. The record is from RNAcentral.